UGACUAAUGUCUUUCCGGAAGUAAAACAAUUUAUUCAUUACUAGCUUGCUUUUCAAUACAAGAUACAUGGCUGCUUUCUCCCUCUCAAGAUCAGGUAGAGAUUAGAGGCUGGAAGACUGGAGAGAUCGAUGCAGGUGACCACAGAACUACAGGGAAAACAAAUGGAAAUUGAACAAAAUGAAGACUUAGAAGUUUUUGGCCUUCAGUUGGGAUUAGUGGGAAAACAUAUCCCAUAAAAAUUAGAUCCACCGGAAAGCAUACAAUACAUGCUUCCGUCACAGUUCUUACAAUCAUCCCACUCAUAGUAGGAUGCUUGUGCUAUGCAUUGAGAUCCAAGCUGACACAGUGAGCAAUCCAGUGGGUCUCCAAAGCUCAUACAUUGCCCAUUAACGCCCAGCAUCGUCAUUUUUUGGGAGAUCUUAGGAGCUGCAAAACAAAUUAUACAAUGAACUGGAGUUAAUUAGCAGUCAUGAUAUAUAAAGAAACUCUGGAUUAUAAAGCAAAGUUUGUUUGCUUUAACUUGCAAAAUGUGUCUUAAAACAAGACAGGAAGCAAUCUCAAAAAUUGAAGAAGCAGAGCGCUAGAGACUAACAAGCAACAGAGAGCAACAAGAUUGCUAUGACAAAGAGAGAAAAUGAAGGUUUUCUCGUCAUCUUUUUCUAGUUUUUCUUUUUUCUUCUCUUCACUCUUCUUUUGUGAAUCUGCA
This 706-nucleotide long non-coding RNA is filed under the name Coffea arabica (coffee). RNAcentral describes it as "long non-coding RNA (CARA_LNC002148)". The record is from RNAcentral. Lineage: Eukaryota; Viridiplantae; Streptophyta; Magnoliopsida; Gentianales; Rubiaceae.